GCCUGGUAGUCCACGCUGUAAACGAUGUCGACUUGGAGGUUGUGCCCUUGAGGCGUGGCUUCCGGAGCUAACGCGUUAAGUCGACCGCCUGGGGAGUACGGCCGCAAGGUUAAAACUCAAAUGAAUUGACGGGGGCCCGCACAAGCGGUGGAGCAUGUGGUUUAAUUCGAUGCAACGCGAAGAACCUUACCUACUCUUGACAUCCACGGAAUUCGCCAGAGAUGGCUUAGUGCCUUCGGGAACCGUGAGACAGGUGCUGCAUGGCUGUCGUCAGCUCGUGUUGUGAAAUGUUGGGUUAAGUCCCGCAACGAGCGCAACCCUUAUCCUUUGUUGCCAGCACGUAAUGGUGGGAACUCAAAGGAGACUGCCGGUGAUAAACCGGAGGAAGGUGGGGAUGACGUCAAGUCAUCAUGGCCCUUACGAGUAGGGCUACACACGUGCUACAAUGGCAUAUACAAAGAGAAGCGAACUCGCGAGAGCAAGCGGACCUCAUAAAGUAUGUCGUAGUCCGGAUUGGAGUCUGCAACUCGACUCCAUGAAGUCGGAAUCGCUAGUAAUCGUAGAUCAGAAUGCUACGGUGAAUACGUUCCCGGGCCUUGUACACACCGCCCGUCACACCAUGGGAGUGGGUUGCAAAAGAAGUAGGUAGCUUAAC
This 655-nucleotide ribosomal RNA is filed under the name bacterium sp. R2A-45. Its description in RNAcentral is "bacterial SSU rRNA". It matches the Rfam family "Bacterial small subunit ribosomal RNA", at positions 785 to 1439 of the family's 1533-position model. The record is from RNAcentral.